UCAAAAGAUUUUAACAAAAAU
This 21-nucleotide non-coding RNA is filed under the name Caenorhabditis elegans. Lineage: Eukaryota; Metazoa; Nematoda; Chromadorea; Rhabditida; Rhabditidae. The record is from RNAcentral.